RNAcentral lists this ribosomal RNA (450 nucleotides) under uncultured Paraglomus. RNAcentral describes it as "SSU rRNA". It matches the Rfam family "Eukaryotic small subunit ribosomal RNA", at positions 569 to 1023 of the family's 1831-position model. Lineage: Eukaryota; Fungi; Glomeromycota; Glomeromycetes; Paraglomerales; Paraglomeraceae. The record is from RNAcentral.
AGCAGCCGCGGUAAUUCCAGCUCCAAUAGCGUAUAUUAAAGUUGUUGCAGUUAAAAAGCUCGUAGUUGAACUUCAGGCCUGGCUGGACGGUCCGCCUUCCGGGUGAGUACUGUCUGUGGUCGGGUCCUACCUUCUGGCGAAGCGUCAUGGCCUUAACCGGCCGUGGCGGGGAACCAGGACUUUUACUGUGAAAAAUUAGAGUGUUCAAAGCAGGCAAUUCGCUUGGAUACAUUAGCAUGGAAUAAUGGAAUAGGACAAUUGUUCUAUUUGUUGGUUUCUAGGACUGUUGUAAUGAUUAAUAGGGAUAGUUGGGGGCAUUAGUAUUCAAUUGUCAGAGGUGAAAUUCUUGGAUUUAUUGAAGACUAACUACUGCGAAAGCAUUUGCCAAGGAUGUUUUCAUUAAUCAAGAACGAAAGUUAGGGGAUCGAAGACGAUCAGAUACCGUCGUAG